Long non-coding RNA from Anolis carolinensis (green anole), 1808 nucleotides. RefSeq lists it as uncharacterized. The transcript is spliced from 4 exons. The record is from RefSeq and is a predicted model, not a curated record. Lineage: Eukaryota; Metazoa; Chordata; Lepidosauria; Squamata; Anolidae.
CAACUUCCCAUUGUAGAACUUUUGUUUUAAACCUCAAACCUAGAUUUAAAGGCACAGGGACACAGGUUGAGUGUUGUUGAGAGCCACAGUGUGAGAACUCUUUGGUCCAUGCAGAAAGUGCAUGUUCCCAGAAACAAUUUAGGAUUAGUCACAUCUAAUUCAGAUUCUGCAGCCCCCAAGGUAUUGUUGAACUGCAAUGCCCAGCAUCCUAACCAUUGGCUGCACUGGUUAAAACUUUUAGAAGCUGUACUUCCAUAUAUUUCUUGAGGGCCAUUAUGAUUCCUGUCCUUGGGAUAAGUACUUGACCAGAUUUGAGCAACUGCACGAAAUGUCAAAUUAGCCUCUUUCUCUGAUUUAGCAGCAAGUGAGACUCAGUACUUUUAUUAAAAAGGAAGAACCAAACAUAACCCAACUACAGCAAUUACACAAGCAGUGGAAAGAAGUACAAGAGCACACUGUUGGACAUCUAUGGGAAGGGCCCCUUGCACUUUGCAGAUUACUCAUAAGAUUUGACAAACUUGGAAUCACAGACUGGUUUUGCAUGCACUUGUCUGGAUUGGAUGUGGUCCAGUCCAGGUGUUGUAAGAAUCUCUUGAAGAAUGCAAGUGUUAAUGUUCACCCCUACAGGACCACAACAUCGUUAUUCAGAAAUUAUUGCAAAUUGCAUUAUAAAUUAUGUGCCCAGGUAGCAUGAGUAACACAAGCUAGAAAAAUCAAUAACAGGAGCAGCAGGAGCCGAAAACUCAGAUGUCGUUUCUCAUUCAGUUGCUCAUUUGACGUCUGUUUCUAUGGGGGUGAGAGAAGUUGCUGCAAAUUGUAAAAGAAAGUGAAACUGCAAAUUGCUCGUCAGGGAUGGCAAAAGAUUAUAGGCACUAUUGUGGGGAAUGUUUACACAACAGGGACAAUCUGUUUUUAUUUACAGAGGAUGAACAGACUUCUAAAUGAAAAGUAUUUGGCAGUGUGGUUCUUUAAAUACACAAGUACUAACAAGAGUAUCAGUGCCCUCCCCACCUGUACAAUUUUGCAUCAGUACAGAAUAACGCAUUUAGCAAACAUGAUUGAGGGUCAUUUCAGAAGGAACACAAAUAGUUUUCUAGAGCUUGAGUACUUUGCUUCCCUAUUCACUAAGUACUAUUUUUAGCAUGCUGUAAUGUUGCAAUAUAAGAUAAUUGGAAGGCAAAUUAGAAUUCCUGGAAUCAUUCCAGCUGAUGCAUUAAAAAAUUAAUUCAUCUUUGCUUUUGAGAAUUUUGCUAAUAAUCCUCCACUUUUCUCUAUCUUAUUAUUUUGGCAUUCAAUGAACUCUCAUCACAACAUGGCUAAAAAUCAGAAAAAGAUGAAGAUUCUAUCACAACCUUCAAACAACUGCACGAAAAAAGAACUGUGGGGAAUAAAAUUCUUAACAUUCAUAAAAACUUUAAAGACUUAAACAAACCUUCUUACUAAGAAGAAACAGCUGGUGAAUUUAUAUAAAGACUAUACAAAUUCUCUAAAAUAAGCGAGCUUUGAAAACUUUCCAUGGAGAUAAAAAUGUUGUUUUAAAACUUUUAGAUUCAAACACCAAGAAACCAUUUCAGUUCAUAAAGUCAGAGUGAGAAUUUAAUUUGUUUUAGAAUUUAUCUGAAAUUCAAAGGUUAAAAUGAUGACAAAAACAAAAUUACCAGAUUUGCCACCUUCUGUGAAGAAUUAGAAUUUCAUUUGUUUUUUUGUUCAGCGAAAUUGCUAAAAUUAGCAAAAAUUUAGAAGUAAAAAAAAUUUGUCCAUCUCUAACAUUAGUACAAAUUGAAUAUAAUUAUUUAUUUCAUCCAACC